This 295-nucleotide ribosomal RNA is filed under the name uncultured bacterium. Its description in RNAcentral is "partial 16S ribosomal RNA". It matches the Rfam family "Bacterial small subunit ribosomal RNA", at positions 27 to 313 of the family's 1533-position model. The record is from RNAcentral.
GGACGAACGCUGGCGGCGCGCCUAACACAUGCAAGUCGAGCGAGAACCAGGGCUUCGGCCCUGGGGACAGCGGCGAACGGGUGAGUAACACGUGGGUAACCUGCCCUCGGCACCGGGAUAGGACCCGGGGAAACCCGGAUUAAUACCGGACAGCCUCAUGAGCUCUCGGGCUCGUGAGAAAAGGUGGCUUCGGCUUCCGGCUGAGGAUGGGCCCGCGGCCGAUUAGCUUGUUGGUGAGGUAACGGCUCACCAAGGCGAUGAUCGGUAGCUGGUCUGAGAGGACGAUCAGCCACAC